RNAcentral lists this non-coding RNA (66 nucleotides) under Buttiauxella sp. JUb87. The record is from RNAcentral. Lineage: Bacteria; Pseudomonadati; Pseudomonadota; Gammaproteobacteria; Enterobacterales; Enterobacteriaceae.
GAAAGCACGACAUUGCUCACAUUGCUUCCAGUAUUACUUUAGCCAGCCUUGAGCUGGCUUUUUUUU